AAAACAUCUCGGUCUCAAACUCCAGGAGCGGACCCGCCAUCUUGGAAGUCCACCUUAGCGGUGCUACUAGAGAAUCAGCUGCAGACUCCGUCAAUGUUUCGAAACUGCACACAUCCGGUGACGACAAAAGACAAAAGGUCCAGCUCAGUCAGAAUGGACAGAACCCCACUUCUCUCCCAAUGAUCGCUGGUGACAGGCAUCCGCCGCCCUGGGACCCAGUAUGGAUGAGAAGUGUAUGUUUCACACAGGGGGAAGAAUGAUGGUGGCGUACCGCCUCCGAGCUCCAUUUCCUGUGUAAGCAAGCAUCUUCUGUGGAAAUAAGUGUCCAUCGUGAACUUGGAGACAAUUUCAUGCUUCAUAAAAU
Girardinichthys multiradiatus is the source of this 364-nucleotide long non-coding RNA. RefSeq lists it as uncharacterized. The record is from RefSeq and is a predicted model, not a curated record. The transcript is spliced from 3 exons. Lineage: Eukaryota; Metazoa; Chordata; Actinopteri; Cyprinodontiformes; Goodeidae.